Molecule: non-coding RNA, 263 nt
Organism: Paramuricea clavata
Lineage: Eukaryota; Metazoa; Cnidaria; Anthozoa; Malacalcyonacea; Plexauridae
Source: the annotation of a GenBank genome assembly
AGGAAACUUACAGCUUCGUUGGAAAGGAAAAUAGUUCAUGUUUUUAUAGGCAAAAGUGAAAGCAACAAAAUUCAUAAACAUUAAUAAUUCAAAGCAAACUUGCCCCAUUUUUCACGAUUUCCCAUAGUCCAUAAAUUUUUGUUAUUUCUUCAAACAUUAAUUGCCUCAAAGCUCAUUGUGUGAAACGUGAUUUUCUAAGUAUAUGUUUUUGGAAGAUUGAAAUCUUGCUUAUCCAACUCCUGGGAAACAGCCAUAUUUUUGAG